CAAGGUGCUAUAAAUGAAUUAUUGAAUGAAUGCAAAAUCUUGUAUAAAACCAUAUCAACUCAAGAGAAACAUAUCAAAACUCUUGAAGAGAAAAUGGAUACCAUGCAGAAAGAUUUUGAUCUUGAAAAGAAACAAUAUGUUGAUAAAAUGGAACAAAAAUAUACAUGUAAUAAAUGUGAAUCACUUUCUUUUCAAAUUGUUCAAUUAAAGAGAGUCCUUGAAAGGUAUGAAAAAGGACAAAUUGGGUUGAAAGGUGUCCUUAGGCAACAAAGAUUCCCUAAUGAUAAAAGUGGUCUUGGAUAUGCAAAGUCUAACAAACCAAGUACUAGUAAAACUAUCUUUGUGAAGGCAAGUGAACAAUUCAACAAAUUGGAUAAAGCACAAAAGGUUCAUCAUCAUCCUAAAAGGUUUCCUAAAAAGAAACCAUAUGUUCCUAGAUAUAAAAGUAAUUUUGUUCCUACUUGUUUUUAUUGUGGUAUUGUUGGUCAUACACCUAAUGCUUGCUAUAUAAGAAAUUUCAGUGUGGCAAGUGGUCAUUAUGUGUGGGUUAAGAAAGGAACUAACUAUGAUGGACCCAAAGCACAUUGGGUACCAAAUCAAACUUAAUUUGUUUUGUAGGUUUGCUUGAGGACCACUUAAAAUCUAUGGUGUUUUUGACAAGUGGUGGUUCUAAGCAUUUGAUUGAAGACUUAAACUAACUUUCAAAUCUAGUUAUAAAGUCCAAGGGUGAUUUCACAUAUGGAGAAUACCUUAAAGGAAGAAUUCUUGGCAUUGACAAAGUUGGAGCACUAAUUUUCAUAUCAAUUGAAGAUGUACUUUAUGUUGAAAGACUAAAGCAAAAUCUUCUAAGCAAAAGUCAACUUUGUGACAAAAAGCUUCAAAAUAAUAUUCACCAAAGAUGAAUGUUUGAUGAAGUCACUCAUGAGGUAAAACUCAUAGGUAAAGAAUUAAUUGUGUUCAUAUUUUAUUUUCAAUAAUUUAUCUUUUUCCCAUCCUUUUUGAUAAUGACAAAGGGGGAGAAGAUAUUUGUGUGUAUGUGUAUGCUUGUCUCUAACUUUUGCAGCCACAAAGAACCAAAUUCUCUAUCAAUCAAGGGAGGUCUUUGAUAAAGGGGGAGUUAUCAAAGUUAGGGGGAGCAUUCACAUAAGAACUUCUCAUUUAUUCUAAGAGAUUCAAGCAUUUCAACUUUCAAUGGUUGUCAUCAUCAAAAAGGGGGAGAUUGUGAAGUCAAGCUUCUCCAAUAGUGUGUUUUGAUGAAGACAACUUUAAAUCUCUCAAGAUCAUGUACAUAUAUCAAAGAAGAAGGGAAAAGAUGCAUGACUUUAUUUGAUCAAAAUUUCAAGGAUUGUUGGAAACAAGAAGUUGAAAGUGAGAGGAUUGUUCUCAUUUCAACUUGAUAAAUCCAAGAGGAUUGUUCUUGGUGGUUUGGGUGUUAGAAGAUUGUAGGAUAAGUCUUGGGAUUAGGCUUGUACAAAUAUCUAACAAUAGUGAAAUCUCUUUCGUGUUGAAAGGGGACUGGAGUACUCUCGGAUUGUGAGGGGAACCAGUAUA
Vicia villosa (hairy vetch) is the source of this 1551-nucleotide long non-coding RNA. RefSeq lists it as uncharacterized. Lineage: Eukaryota; Viridiplantae; Streptophyta; Magnoliopsida; Fabales; Fabaceae. The transcript has 2 exons. The record is from RefSeq and is a predicted model, not a curated record.